CCUACGGGCGGCAGCAGUGGGGAAUAUUGCGCAGUGGGCGAAAGCCUGACGCAGCGACGCCGCGUGAGGGAUGAAGGUCUUCGGAUCGUAAACCUCUGUCAGCAGGGAAGAACGGUCACUGUGCUAAUCAGCAGUGAAUUGACGGUACCUGCAAAGGAAGCACCGGCUAACUCCGUGCCAGCAGCCGCGGUUAUACGGAGGGUGCGUGCGUUAAUCGGAAUUAUUGGGCUUAAAGGGCUCGUAGGCGGUAUGUCAAGUCAAGGGUGAAAUCCCCGCGCUCAACGUGGGAACUGCCUUUGAAACUGGCAGUCUGGAGUGUGUGAGAGGAUGGUGGAAUUCCAGGUGUAGGAGUGAAAUCCUUAGAUAUCUGGAGGAACAUCAGUGGCGAAGGCGACUAACUGGAACAUAACUGACACUGAGGAGCGAAAGCGUGGGUAGCAAACAGGAUUAGAUACCCUUGUAGUC
This 465-nucleotide ribosomal RNA is filed under the name uncultured bacterium. RNAcentral describes it as "partial 16S ribosomal RNA". It matches the Rfam family "Bacterial small subunit ribosomal RNA", at positions 338 to 795 of the family's 1533-position model. The record is from RNAcentral.